AAAGUCGUAACAAGGUCUCCGUUGGUGAACCAGCGGAGGGAUCAUUACCGAGUUUACAACUCCCAAACCCCUGUGAACAUACCUACGUUGCUUCGGCGGACCACCCCAACCCCCUCGGGGCGAGGGGCCGCCAGAGGACCCAAAACCCAACUGUUUUUUCCGUAACGAAACCUAUUCUGAGUGGAAUUAUUGAAUAAAUCAAAACUUUCAACAACGGAUCUCUUGGCUCUG
Molecule: unclassified non-coding RNA, 231 nt
Filed under: fungal sp.
Lineage: Eukaryota; Fungi
Description: partial internal transcribed spacer region
Rfam family: Eukaryotic small subunit ribosomal RNA (bases 1-47)
Source: RNAcentral